This 784-nucleotide ribosomal RNA is filed under the name Sutcliffiella horikoshii. Its description in RNAcentral is "bacterial SSU rRNA". It matches the Rfam family "Bacterial small subunit ribosomal RNA", at positions 93 to 862 of the family's 1533-position model. The record is from RNAcentral. Lineage: Bacteria; Bacillati; Bacillota; Bacilli; Caryophanales; Bacillaceae.
CAGCGGCGGACGGGUGAGUAACACGUGGGCAACCUGCCUGUAAGACUGGGAUAACUUCGGGAAACCGGAGCUAAUACCGGAUAAUAUAAGGAACCUCCUGGUUCUUUAUUGAAAGAUGGUUUCGGCUAUCACUUACAGAUGGGCCCGCGGCGCAUUAGCUAGUUGGUGAGGUAACGGCUCACCAAGGCGACGAUGCGUAGCCGACCUGAGAGGGUGAUCGGCCACACUGGGACUGAGACACGGCCCAGACUCCUACGGGAGGCAGCAGUAGGGAAUCUUCCACAAUGGACGAAAGUCUGAUGGAGCAACGCCGCGUGAGCGAUGAAGGCCUUCGGGUCGUAAAGCUCUGUUGUUAGGGAAGAACAAGUGCGAGAGUAACUGCUCGCACCUUGACGGUACCUAACCAGAAAGCCACGGCUAACUACGUGCCAGCAGCCGCGGUAAUACGUAGGUGGCAAGCGUUGUCCGGAAUUAUUGGGCGUAAAGCGCGCGCAGGUGGUCCUUUAAGUCUGAUGUGAAAGCCCACGGCUCAACCGUGGAGGGUCAUUGGAAACUGGGGGACUUGAGUGCAGAAGAGGAAAGUGGAAUUCCAAGUGUAGCGGUGAAAUGCGUAGAGAUUUGGAGGAACACCAGUGGCGAAGGCGACUUUCUGGUCUGUAACUGACACUGAGGCGCGAAAGCGUGGGGAGCAAACAGGAUUAGAUACCCUGGUAGUCCACGCCGUAAACGAUGAGUGCUAAGUGUUAGAGGGUUUCCGCCCUUUAGUGCUGCAGCUAACGCAUUA